RNAcentral lists this transfer RNA (87 nucleotides) under Clostridiaceae bacterium. Its description in RNAcentral is "tRNA-Leu". It matches the Rfam family "tRNA". Rfam says of the family: Transfer RNA (tRNA) molecules are approximately 80 nucleotides in length. Lineage: Bacteria; Bacillati; Bacillota; Clostridia; Eubacteriales; Clostridiaceae. The record is from RNAcentral.
GCCGGUGUGAUGGAAUAGGCAGACGUGCCGCACUCAAAAUGCGGUGGGAGUGUUCCCGUGCCGGUUCGAGUCCGGCCACCGGCACCA